RNAcentral lists this ribosomal RNA (460 nucleotides) under uncultured bacterium. Its description in RNAcentral is "partial 16S ribosomal RNA". It matches the Rfam family "Bacterial small subunit ribosomal RNA", at positions 338 to 795 of the family's 1533-position model. The record is from RNAcentral.
CCUACGGGCGGCAGCAGUGAGGAAUAUUGGUCAAUGGGCGCGAGCCUGAACCAGCCAAGUCGCGUGAAGGACGACUGCCCUACGGGUUGUAAACUUCUUUUAUAUGGGAAUAAAAUGAGGCACGUGUGCCGUUUUGUAUGUACUUUAUGAAUAAGCAUAGGCUAACUCCGUGCCAGCAGCCGCGGUAAUACGGAGGAUCCGAGCGUUAUCCGGAUUUAUUGGGUUUAAAGGGAGCGUAGAUGGGUUGUUAAGUCAGUUGUGAAAGUUUGCGGCUCAACCGUAAAAUUGCAAUUGAUACUAGCAGUCUUGAGUACAGUCGAGGUAGGCGGAAUUCGUGGUGUAGCGGUGAAAUGCUUAGAUAUCACGAAGAACUCCGAUUGCGAAGGCAGCUUACUAAACUGCCACUGACAUUGAUGCUCGAAAGUGUGGGUAUCAAACAGGAUUAGAUACCCCGGUAGUC